GACGAACCGUGCAAACGUUAUUCGGAAUCACUGGGCUUAAAGGGGGCGUAGGCGGGCUGGUAAGUCAGAGGUGAAAGCCCACAGCUUAACUGUGGAAGUGCCCCUGAUACUGUCAGCCUUGAGGGAGGUAGGGGCGUGCGGAACUUCCGGUGGAGCGGUGAAAUGCGUAGAUAUCGGAAGGAACACCGGUGGCGAAAGCGGCGCGCUGGACCUCUUCUGACGCUGAGGCCCGAAAGCUAGGGGAGCAAACGGG
Molecule: unclassified non-coding RNA, 253 nt
Filed under: uncultured Planctomycetia bacterium
Lineage: Bacteria; Pseudomonadati; Planctomycetota; Planctomycetia
Description: contains 16S-23S intergenic spacer region
Rfam family: Bacterial small subunit ribosomal RNA
Source: RNAcentral